This 125-nucleotide non-coding RNA is filed under the name Parabacteroides faecis. The record is from RNAcentral. Lineage: Bacteria; Pseudomonadati; Bacteroidota; Bacteroidia; Bacteroidales; Tannerellaceae.
GAGACUGGUCCAUCGGUAAAGAGUGAUCAAGCACAUUUACCAAACCACGCUCCGGUGCUUUACUCCAACGGGUAAGGUAUUGAACGGAAGAGUGAAAAGGCAGCGGUGAGAGAACCGUGUCAGGU